AGAAGGGGGACCUCAUGCGGCAGCGUGCUGUGAAUGAUACUGCAUCCUUCAUUCCUAACAAGUAGUACUUAAAGAAGUGAGGAGUGCCGUGGAAGGUCUGAAACAGACCACAGAUCAGCCCAUAAAACCUGCAGAUCCUGUGGAGCAGCAGGAGACAGCACCAUCUCUUUACCCCUACCCCCAUGAGUCCUGGCCAUCCAGUGGACCCAUCUGAUCUCCACCAUGUAAGGAGAAGCAGAGGAAAAUGAAUAUAGGACACUCAAAGUUUCACAAAGCUGUGAAAUAAACCAUCUGAGAAAUGAAAGCAGCAUGAAGACUGUCUCGACACCAUCUUCCUUACCAGUGCUAGAAAAUCAGAGUGCACUGUAGCAGUACUGAACACUCAAAAUAUAUAUAAUACUGUGCACUUAUAUAAUGCCUUUCAUGUGAAGCUCUCAAAGCAUUCUAGAAAUGACUUUCAUCAUACACCUGAAUGGUGAAAUUCCCAUUUGAGCUGGUUGUGUGACAAACCAGGGACCUAUAGCACUAAAAACAUAAGCUGCUACACCUUGAAUUAAAAGAGCCAAGGCUCCUUAGUGGGGGCUGUAACAACUCAUCCCCUCUAUUGAUGGGUAUAGAGAGGGACCUGUAUCACCCAGAAACAAGUGGCUUACAGUUGCAUAAUACAUAAAGUGGUUGCUCAACUAUUAUUUUCUUGUUGAGCACCAUGGAGUGAUAUUGAAGGAGCCACGUCACACAGGCAAUGCCUUCAUAAUGUUCCAAGGGGUACUCCAGACAAGACCACGAGGCUAAAGAGUUCUUCUGGCUGUCAUCUCCAAAACAACUGAGCUUGGACAAGGCCACCAGGUGAUGAAGGAAGAGGUACAUAGAGCAUCUACACAACCCUCAUAAUCCUCUUAAUGCAACAUUACUGCCCCAGUUUAGACCAAAAAGUGUUGUCACAGUUGGGGACAGAGGCAAGACCUAGAAUCAGGAUUCACUUAGGGCUGCUCAGGAGGGCAGGAAGUGCUUUCCAUGAACAGUCCUGUGGCUCCUGCCUUUUGAGAAUGUAUAGAACCCUUUCAAGCUCAUGCAUUUCCCCACCCCGUCCCAGCCCAAAAUAUGCGCACACUCCUUGCUCACUGGGUGGAUUAUUCUUAGAUUUAGUAAACCAACAUUUUAUGCAACAUAUGGGGCUACUGCACCCCUUUUUACAUCAUUGAUUAGGAUUUUACCUUAAGUAACCUGCUCAAGGUUACAAAGGAAAUUGAUAGCAGAAGCCAAAAUAAAAUCUUCAUUCCUAGUCUUGUGUUCUUCUCUUUAGAAAACACUCCCUCUAUAACACUUGCAACCUUUUAAUUCCAAACUGAAGUACUUAUUAAUCACAUGUCAUGUAAUAAUCCAUUGCCCUGUACACACACACACACACACGGGCUAUCAGUGGGGACAGAACCUGGAAUUGAAAACACAGCUCACCUCCACUGAGCUAAAAAUAGAACUCUUUUAGCUGAGAAAGAGCAGAAGGGUUGAGUCACUAGGUGACCACCUUUAGUAGUCAUUUCAUACACUAGAACUUGUGUAAUAUGUGUAACUGUAAUGCUGUGAAGAGGAUUCUGAAGGUAUGUUGGCCUUCAGAAACUU
This is a long non-coding RNA of Mauremys reevesii (Reeves's turtle), 1620 nucleotides long. RefSeq lists it as uncharacterized. The transcript is spliced from 4 exons. The record is from RefSeq and is a predicted model, not a curated record. NCBI's taxonomy places the organism in Eukaryota, Metazoa, Chordata, Testudines, Geoemydidae.